UACGGAGGGUGCAAGCGUUGUCCGGAAUCACUGGGCGUAAAGGGCGCGUAGGCGGCUCAUGAAGGCUGUGGUGGAAGUCCGGGGCUCAACCUCGGAUCGGCCGUGGCGACUCGUGGGCUGGAGCACUGUAGAGGCGGGUGGAAUUCCGGGUGUAGCGGUGAAAUGCGCAGAUAUCAGGAGGAACACCGGUGGCGAAGGCGGGUCUCUGGGCCGGUACCGACGCUGAGGAGCGAAAGCGUGGGAGCGAACAGG
This 252-nucleotide ribosomal RNA is filed under the name uncultured bacterium. Its description in RNAcentral is "partial 16S ribosomal RNA". It matches the Rfam family "Bacterial small subunit ribosomal RNA", at positions 524 to 776 of the family's 1533-position model. The record is from RNAcentral.